This 396-nucleotide ribosomal RNA is filed under the name uncultured Streptococcus sp. Its description in RNAcentral is "bacterial SSU rRNA". It matches the Rfam family "Bacterial small subunit ribosomal RNA", at positions 984 to 1382 of the family's 1533-position model. The record is from RNAcentral. Lineage: Bacteria; Bacillati; Bacillota; Bacilli; Lactobacillales; Streptococcaceae.
ACAUCCCGAUGCUAUUUCUAGAGAUAGAAAGUUACUUCGGUACAUCGGUGACAGGUGGUGCAUGGUUGUCGUCAGCUCGUGUCGUGAGAUGUUGGGUUAAGUCCCGCAACGAGCGCAACCCCUAUUGUUAGUUGCCAUCAUUCAGUUGGGCACUCUAGCGAGACUGCCGGUAAUAAACCGGAGGAAGGUGGGAUGACGUCAAAUCAUCAUGCCCCUUAUGACCUGGGCUACACACGUGCUACAAUGGUUGGUACAACGAGUUGCGAGUCGGUGACGGCGAGCUAAUCUCUUAAAGCCAAUCUCAGUUCGGAUUGUAGGCUGCAACUCGCCUACAUGAAGUCGGAAUCGCUAGUAAUCGCGGAUCAGCACGCCGCGGUGAAUACGUUCCCGGGCCUU